GAUGAACGCUAGCUACAGGCUUAACACAUGCAAGUCGAGGGGUAACGAGAGGAAAGCUUGCUUUCCUUGUCGACGACCGGCGCACGGGUGAGUAACGCGUAUCCAACCUGCCCCCAACUAGGGAAUAACCUUGCGAAAGUAAGACUAAUACCCUAUAAUUUCCUCAGAUGUACUCUGACGAGGAAUAAAGAUUUAUCGGUUGUGGAUGGGGAUGCGUCUGAUUAGGCAGUUGGCGGGGUAACGGCCCACCAAACCGACGAUCAGUAGGGGUUCUGAGAGGAAGGUCCCCCACAUUGGAACUGAGACACGGUCCAAACUCCUACGGGAGGCAGCAGUGAGGAAUAUUGGUCAAUGGUCGCAAGACUGAACCAGCCAAGUAGCGUGAGGGAAGACUGCCCUAUGGGUUGUAAACCUCUUUUAUCUGGGAAUAAAGUGAGCCACGUGUGGCUUAUUGCAGGUACCAGAAGAAUAAGGACCGGCUAAUUCCGUGCCAGCCGCCGCAGUAA
This 506-nucleotide ribosomal RNA is filed under the name uncultured bacterium. RNAcentral describes it as "partial 16S ribosomal RNA". It matches the Rfam family "Bacterial small subunit ribosomal RNA", at positions 28 to 523 of the family's 1533-position model. The record is from RNAcentral.